ACUGGGCAUGGUGGCAUUUGUCUGGAAUCCUAGCUACCCAGGAAGUUGAGAUUGGUGAAUGUCUUGAACUCUGGAGUUGAGUUUCAGUAGGUUGUUGAUUAGAUGUCCACACUAAAGAUAGUCUGGCAUCAAUAUGGAGAGCUCUUGGGAAUAGGGGAGGAGCAUAGGGUUGCUUAGGGAGUAGUGAACUGGUCCAGGCUACAGAUGGAGACAGUCAAAACAUCUGUGCCAAUCGGUAGUGGGAUUACACCUGUGUGUGACUUCUCAAUUUCUACAACCUGGGUGAGACUUGGAGAUCACCUU
Molecule: signal recognition particle RNA, 303 nt
Filed under: Vombatus ursinus (common wombat)
Lineage: Eukaryota; Metazoa; Chordata; Mammalia; Diprotodontia; Vombatidae
Description: Metazoan signal recognition particle RNA (ENSVURG00010016035.1)
Rfam family: Metazoan signal recognition particle RNA
About the family: The signal recognition particle (SRP) is a universally conserved ribonucleoprotein. It is involved in the co-translational targeting of proteins to membranes. The eukaryotic SRP consists of a 300-nucleotide 7S RNA and six proteins: SRPs 72, 68, 54, 19, 14, and 9.
Source: Rfam by way of RNAcentral